RNAcentral lists this ribosomal RNA (426 nucleotides) under Verconia romeri. Its description in RNAcentral is "Noumea romeri partial 16S ribosomal RNA". It matches the Rfam family "Archaeal large subunit ribosomal RNA", at positions 1909 to 2635 of the family's 2987-position model. Lineage: Eukaryota; Metazoa; Mollusca; Gastropoda; Nudibranchia; Chromodorididae. The record is from RNAcentral.
AGCUUUAGGUAAAUAUCUAAGGUUUGACCUGCCCAAUGUACAGAGUUAUACUCAAAAAUGAAUGGCCGCGGUACUUUGACCGUGCUAAGGUAGCGUAAUCAAUUGGCUCUUAAUUGGGGUCAGGAAUGAAUGGAGUCACGGGGCUUGACUGUCUUUUUAUUAAUAAUUUGAAGUUACUAUAUAAGUGAAAAAGCUUAUGACUAGAAAAAGGACGAGAAGACCCUUAGAGUUUUACUAAAAUUAUAAGUUAUUACUUAUAUCAGUUUGGUUGGGGCAACCUAGGAUGCAGAAAUAUUAUAAUCUCUUUAAUACUACAUACCGAUUAUAUUAAAUUUGAAUAAACUACCUUAGGGAUAACAGCAUAAUUUUAUAUUGAAGUUUGUGACCUCGAUGUUGGACUAGGAAACUAAAAGGCUAGCCGUCUUU